RNAcentral lists this transfer RNA (59 nucleotides) under Apaloderma vittatum (bar-tailed trogon). It matches the Rfam family "tRNA", at positions 8 to 63 of the family's 71-position model. From Rfam's summary of the family: Transfer RNA (tRNA) molecules are approximately 80 nucleotides in length. Lineage: Eukaryota; Metazoa; Chordata; Aves; Trogoniformes; Trogonidae. The record is from Rfam by way of RNAcentral.
UAGCUCGGUCAGUUAGAGUGUGGUGCUGAUAACACCAAGGUCACGGGUUCGGUUCCCGU